GCCCCAAUAGCAUAGUUUUGGUUAAUGCGUUCCCUUCGUAAGGAUCUAGGGAGAGAUCGGGCGUUCGAAUCGCCCUUGGGGCU
Kockovaella imperatae is the source of this 83-nucleotide non-coding RNA. NCBI's taxonomy places the organism in Eukaryota, Fungi, Basidiomycota, Tremellomycetes, Tremellales, Cuniculitremaceae. The record is from the annotation of a RefSeq genome assembly.